UUUCACUUGGCAAAAGAGACAGGUUCUCCACUAGAAGAAAUGGACUCCCACAAGCUUGCUGUUAUUGACAGUUCCUCAGGAAAAUACAAAGAUAUCAAAGUUGCUGAUGAUUAUGUAUCUGUCAUGUCACUUACAUUAGCAAUCCAAGAAAAGGUGAAGCAUUCGGGUCGUUUUGGGGUUCAUGCUGUCAGUGAAGUUGCUUCAGACUUAGCUCCAGAAUAUCUUGAGCAACAUGGACUUAAAUCUGUCCCAAAAUCUGUGGCUUAUGGUUACACUGCUUCAGGAUACGGGUUUGUUCAAGAUAUGCCUUAUGCCUACCUUCAUGAAUUUACCAGAACUUCCAUGGCUGGAAAAAUUCGACGAUUUAAAGGUGGAUAUACGAGUCUUUGGCAGAG
RNAcentral lists this small RNA (395 nucleotides) under Vigna angularis var. angularis. Its description in RNAcentral is "Non-protein coding transcript". The record is from RNAcentral. Lineage: Eukaryota; Viridiplantae; Streptophyta; Magnoliopsida; Fabales; Fabaceae.